UUGGCAUAUUCACAAGAAAUCUAGAGGCAAGCACUAAAAAAACAAGGGGCCCCACAAAAUUAGCACAAAAUAUGUAAAAAAAAAAUGGCAUCCAAUAUGGAUGCCUGAAAUAUCAAAGUGGAUGCCCUUAGAAUGCCUGUAUGAGAAGGAGAUUGACCCCAAUUGGACAAAGGCUACUAUUAUAUUUAUUUAUUUAUUUAUUUAUUUAUUUAUUUACAUCACUUCUAUCCCGCCUUUCUCACCCGAGGGGACUCAUAGCGGCUUACAAAUCUGACAAAAUUCAAUGCCAAUAAACAGCAACACGAUAGAAUAAAACAUAAAAGAGUUAAAACAAUUAAGCAAUAACAAUAAACCAAUAUACAAAUUUAAAACCAUAUACAGUGCUUAAAACCUUUCAUCCGCAAGAUCUUACACAUAAACCUUGAUCCAGAUGGUUUUAUAACUUGGAUUCUGUGGAAGCAUGUUUCUUCACACAGGAAACACAAACAGGACAAUUUAACUUUAAAAUACACUUCUCCUAGGAUUUGACACCAACACUCUAAAAUUAUAGAGUCUCAAUAUAGUCCUCAGCCUUACUUCCCUGAAGGCUCUUAACUAUAUUCUUCAAAGAAGUUUCUUUUUAAAAUCACAGUUCCCAAACCUAUGUCUUCUUAUGUCAAACUACAACUAACCAACUGACUAACUGAAAGAAUUUUUCGGCUGCCUAGCUCCAACUGUCACUAUGGCUUCGCCCAUCUCCAGUUGCUAAGCAAAUUCUCCCUGUUUGCAUCAGACGGCACUUUCAGUAAUGGCUGCCUGAAUGCUCUUCCCACUUGCUUAGCUUAGCUUUUGUAAGCAAGGCCUGAAAAUGGCUGUACACCAGCCCUGCAGGGCAGGCCACUCACCAACCCUGUAAGGGUUCUUAGAAAUCCAGCCAGAAGCGGGAACAGAGGAAUCCAGAGCUGAAAAUAUGGUCACACUAAUGCAAACUGAUUAAAUAGAUGCCAAAAUAGAA
This is a long non-coding RNA of Anolis carolinensis (green anole), 994 nucleotides long. RefSeq lists it as uncharacterized. The transcript is spliced from 2 exons. The record is from RefSeq and is a predicted model, not a curated record. NCBI's taxonomy places the organism in Eukaryota, Metazoa, Chordata, Lepidosauria, Squamata, Anolidae.